CAAAGGGGGAGAACCAGGGCUGUUGAGUACUCUGGAAGUGUGGAAGACAAUGGCUUCUUGAGUGGAGCGGCUCACUGACUCACUCGGGUCACACUGAGCUGAUCCAGUUUUUCCCUCCCUAGGCUAGUAGGAAUCACAGGAUAUGUGGCACCCAACCUGCUAAAGUCAAAGGCCUGUUUGACUUGUAGGACCUCAAAUAUCCUUGCUGCAGCCUGCCAGUGGAGGAAAAGCUUCAUGAAGGCUGAUGUCUGAACUGGUCCAGCCUCAGCCUCAACUCUUCUUCUAAGUGAGCCCAGCCUUGGAUUCACCCAUCUGAGCUGCCCCAUGUGUAUAUGGGAGACGGGGGACCCCCAGUGAUAACAUACAUCAUCCUUUUGAAUGCUGGCCAUCAUCAUGGAAGACCACUAGACUCUGCUCUCAAGAGACUCACUGUCCCAUCAUGAAUCUUGUCCCCCUGCCACCUGCAGGGCACCUACUCCCAAACA
This is a long non-coding RNA of Microtus oregoni (creeping vole), 485 nucleotides long. RefSeq lists it as uncharacterized. Lineage: Eukaryota; Metazoa; Chordata; Mammalia; Rodentia; Cricetidae. The transcript is spliced from 3 exons. The record is from RefSeq and is a predicted model, not a curated record.